This 522-nucleotide ribosomal RNA is filed under the name uncultured bacterium. RNAcentral describes it as "partial 16S ribosomal RNA". It matches the Rfam family "Bacterial small subunit ribosomal RNA", at positions 28 to 507 of the family's 1533-position model. The record is from RNAcentral.
GUUGAACGCUGGCGGCAUGCCUAAUACAUGCAAGUCGAACGCUUUGUCUUAACUUGAUCUUUUGUUCUUGUUCUGAUUUGUUUUUAUCUGCUAAAGAGCGGCCUACUGGUGAGUAAUACGUGGCUAACCUAGCUCCUAGCACCGCAUACCAUUUGGAUACGAGUGCGAAUACUGUUUGACACUCACGAUCUCAUGUUUGCUUGUUGAAGGAUGGCUCUGUUAUCGCUAAGAGAUGGACCCGCGCUGCAUUAGCUAGUUGGUCUGUUAAUGGCUUACCACGGCGAUACUCCGUAACCGGUGUGAGAGGAUGAUCAGACACACUGGGACUGAGACACGGCGCAGACUCCUACGGGAGGCAGCAGUAGGGAAUAUUAGACAAUGGGCGAAAGCCUGAUGCAGCAAGGCCGCGUGUGUGAAGAAGGUCUUCGGAUUGUAAAACACUGUAAUUAGAGAGGAAGGGCAGUAAGAGAAAAAGUUGAUGGUUUGACGGUACCAUAUGAGUAAGCAACGGCUAAGUACGUG